This 305-nucleotide ribosomal RNA is filed under the name uncultured bacterium. RNAcentral describes it as "bacterial SSU rRNA". It matches the Rfam family "Bacterial small subunit ribosomal RNA", at positions 334 to 656 of the family's 1533-position model. The record is from RNAcentral.
UAGUCCUACGGGGGGCAGCAGUGGGGAAUAUUGCACAAUGGGGGGAACCCUGAUGCAGCGACGCCGCGUGGGUGAAGGAGCACCUCGGUGCGUAAAGCCCUAUCGGCAGGGAAGAAACAGACGGUACCUGACUAAGAAGCCCCGGCUAACUACGUGCCAGCAGCCGCGGUAAUACGUAGGGGGCAAGCGUUAUCCGGAUUUACUGGGUGUAAAGGGGGCGCAGACGGCGAUGCGAGCCAGGAGUGAAAGCCCGGGGCCCAACCCCGGGACUGCUCUUGGAACUGCGUGGCUGGAGUGCAGGAGGG